This is a small nuclear RNA of Pteronotus mesoamericanus, 147 nucleotides long. RefSeq annotates it as U4 spliceosomal RNA. The transcript has a single exon. The record is from RefSeq and is a predicted model, not a curated record. Lineage: Eukaryota; Metazoa; Chordata; Mammalia; Chiroptera; Mormoopidae.
AGCUUCGCACAGUGGUAGUACCGUAGCCAAUGAGGUUUAUCUGAGGCGCGAUUAUUGCUAAUUGAAAACUUUUCUCAAAUUCAUAAGACAGUAAUGGACUAUUUUAUAAGAUUGCCCUGGGAAAAUUUCCAUCAAUAUGAAAAAGUA